CAGUAGCGUAUAUUAAAGUUGUUGCAGUUAAAAAGCUCGUAGUUGGAUUUCUGGUUGACACAUCUGACCCGCCUGGGUUUCAUCCUGGGUGCUGUGUCGGUCUGUGUCUACCAUCCUUGUAGAAAGUUUAUCUACCCUUCACUGGGCCGGAUUUGUCGAUCUACAUCAUUUACUUUGAAGAAAUUAGAGUGUUCAAAGCAGGCUCGCGCUAUGAAUACAUUAGCAUGGAAUAAUAAUUUAGGACUUGGAUCCUAUUUUGUUGGUUUCUAGGAUUUAAGUAAUGAUUGAUAGGGACAGUUGGGGGUGCUAGUAUUCAGCGGCCAGAGGUGAAAUUCUUGGAUUCGCUGAAGACUAACUUAUGCGAAAGCAUUCACCAAGGAUGUCUUCUUUAAUCAAGAACGAAAGUUGGGGGAUCGAAGAUGAUCAGAUACCAU
Molecule: ribosomal RNA, 434 nt
Filed under: uncultured eukaryote
Lineage: Eukaryota
Description: bacterial SSU rRNA
Rfam family: Eukaryotic small subunit ribosomal RNA
Source: RNAcentral